Molecule: ribosomal RNA, 498 nt
Filed under: uncultured bacterium
Lineage: Bacteria
Description: partial 16S ribosomal RNA
Rfam family: Bacterial small subunit ribosomal RNA
Source: RNAcentral
AUUGAACGCUGGCGGCAUGCUUUACACAUGCAAGUCGAACGGUAGCAGGCCGCAAGGUGCUGACGAGUGGCGAACGGGUGAGUAAUGCAUCGGAACGUGCCCAGUCGUGGGGGAUAACGCAGCGAAAGCUGUGCUAAUACCGCAUACGAUCUAUGGAUGAAAGCGGGGGACCGUAAGGCCUCGCGCGAUUGGAGCGGCCGAUGUCAGAUUAGGUAGUUGGUGGGGUAAAGGCUCACCAAGCCAACGAUCUGUAGCUGGUCUGAGAGGACGACCAGCCACACUGGGACUGAGACACGGCCCAGACUCCUACGGGAGGCAGCAGUGGGGAAUUUUGGACAAUGGGCGCAAGCCUGAUCCAGCAAUGCCGCGUGCAGGAAGAAGGCCUUCGGGUUGUAAACUGCUUUUGUACGGAACGAAACGGCGAGCUCUAAUACAGUUUGCUAAUGACGGUACCGUAAGAAUAAGCACCGGCUAACUACGUGCCAGCCGCCGCGGUAG